Small nuclear RNA from Bradysia coprophila, 117 nucleotides. RefSeq annotates it as U5 spliceosomal RNA. Lineage: Eukaryota; Metazoa; Arthropoda; Insecta; Diptera; Sciaridae. The record is from RefSeq and is a predicted model, not a curated record.
GCCCUCUGGCUUCUCUUCAGAUAUGAAAUAAAUGUUUCGCCUUUUACUAAAGAUUUCCGUGUAGAGGACCCUCUUAUGAGUCUAAAAUAAAUUGUUGUUCGUCGGUUAAAGCGGUUG